Molecule: long non-coding RNA, 426 nt
Organism: Mastomys coucha (southern multimammate mouse)
Lineage: Eukaryota; Metazoa; Chordata; Mammalia; Rodentia; Muridae
Exons: 2
Source: RefSeq, a predicted model, not a curated record
CUUCGUUGUUUUGUCUUUAUAUUUGAAAAUCUUUCUUAUUAUUUUAUUUAUUCAUUUGGUAAGGUCUCGUGCGACUUAGUCCGGGCCUGGGAGGUAAGGACAACCUUGAACUCCUGAUCUUCCUGCCUUUACAGUUUCCCUAAGAAAUGCCUGGAAGAGUCCCAGACUAGUGACUGUGAACUCUAAAUUUGAAGUCAGCUCAACGCAGAAACUUCUGUCAACACGAUUGCUAAGUAGACCACGCUCUACCUAACAUACAUAUGCUUGGUCUUGAAAAGCCUGAUACCACUGCAGCAAAGCACAGUAGAAUCUCUAGUAGACAUUGUUUGUUCUGAGUAGUCCUCAAACCUACACCUGUACAGAGUUCUUGGUCAGCUCCAUCGUUUUGGUUCCUGUCUUAAUAAAGCUUGAAAAUUCCUGUAAUUA